This 111-nucleotide transfer RNA is filed under the name Xylona heveae TC161. RNAcentral's name for it is "tRNA-Glu". The record is from RNAcentral. Lineage: Eukaryota; Fungi; Ascomycota; Xylonomycetes; Xylonales; Xylonaceae.
UCCGUGAUGGUGUAGCGGUAACAUCGGUCGCUCUCAAGCGAUAACCUCAGGCUUAGCCUGAAGUCCAUCUCGUGUCCCGACCAGCCCGGGGUUCGACUCCCCGUCACGGAA